Molecule: non-coding RNA, 105 nt
Organism: Acanthosepion pharaonis
Lineage: Eukaryota; Metazoa; Mollusca; Cephalopoda; Sepiida; Sepiidae
Source: the annotation of a GenBank genome assembly
UUACGGCCGUAUCACGUUGAAAUACCAGUUCCCGUACGAUCACAGAAUGUAAGCAACGUCGAGCUUGAUCAGUACCUCGACGGGAGACCGCUUGGGAAUAGUUGC